Molecule: ribosomal RNA, 425 nt
Filed under: uncultured bacterium
Lineage: Bacteria
Description: partial 16S ribosomal RNA
Rfam family: Bacterial small subunit ribosomal RNA
Source: RNAcentral
GUGGGGAAUAUUGCACAAUGGGGGAAACCCUGAUGCAGCAACGCCGCGUGAAGGAAGAAGUAUUUCGGUAUGUAAACUUCUAUCAGCAGGGAAGAAAAUGACGGUACCUGACUAAGAAGCCCCGGCUAACUACGUGCCAGCAGCCGCGGUAAUACGUAGGGGGCAAGCGUUAUCCGGAUUUACUGGGUGUAAAGGGAGCGUAGGUGGUAUGGCAAGUCAGAUGUGAAAGCCCGGUGCUCAACCCCGGGACUGCAUUUGAAACUGUCAGACUAGAGUGCAGGAGAGGUAAGUAGAAUUCCUAGUGUAGCGGUGAAAUGCGUAGAUAUUAGGAGGAACACCAGUGGCGAAGGCGGCUUACUGGACUGUAACUGACACUGAGGCUCGAAAGCGUGGGGAGCAAACAGGAUUAGAUACCCCUGUAGUCC